UACGGAGGGGGCUAGCGAUGUUCGGAAUUACUGGGCGUAAAGCGGACGUAGGCGGCACAGUAAGUUGGGGGUGAAAGCACGGAGCUCAACCUCGGAACUGCCUUCAAGACUGCAGAGCUCGAGGAUGCGAGAGGUGAGUGGAAUUCCGAGUGUAGAGGUGAAAUUCGUAGAUAUUCGGAAGAACACCAGUGGCGAAGGCGGCUCACUGGCGCAUUUCUGACGCUGAGGUGCGAAAGCGUGGGGAGCAAACAGG
Molecule: ribosomal RNA, 253 nt
Filed under: uncultured bacterium
Lineage: Bacteria
Description: partial 16S ribosomal RNA
Rfam family: Bacterial small subunit ribosomal RNA
Source: RNAcentral